This 253-nucleotide ribosomal RNA is filed under the name uncultured bacterium. RNAcentral describes it as "partial 16S ribosomal RNA". It matches the Rfam family "Bacterial small subunit ribosomal RNA", at positions 524 to 776 of the family's 1533-position model. The record is from RNAcentral.
UACGUAGGGGGCAAGCGUUAUCCGGAUUUACUGGGUGUAAAGGGAGCGUAGACGGCAGCGCGAGUCUGGAGUGAAAUGCCGGGGCCCAACCCCGGAACUGCUUUGGAAACUGUGCGGCUCGAGUGCGGGAGAGGUAGGCGGAAUUCCUAGUGUAGCGGCGAAAUGCGUAGAUAUUAGGAGGAACACCAGUGGCGAAGGCGGCUUACUGGACCGUAACUGACGUUGAGGCUCGAAAGCGUGGGGAGCAAACAGG